GUGAAAUCGUGAAUUAAAAGGAUUGUGUAGGGCUUCCUUCCCCUAACCAGUGUAGGACUCCUAAAGGGCAGAUGGAAGAGGCUUUACACCAGAAAUAGAGAGAUCACUCAAGACAAUAACCCUAGCCUCCGAGAUAUGAGAGGGAGAUCAAGCAAAGAGGACUGAAGACCCAAAGCAGCCUAAGGAUACUUUCUUCUCCAUUACUUUAUUUUCUUUGUUGGGUUUUAUUCAAUGGGUUGUUUUGUUUCUUCAUUUCUUGAGUUAACUGAAACCAUGCUAGGCUAGAUUUCUCUUUUUAGGGUUAGGGAUGUAACAACUCAAUUCAAACUAUGAUUGUUAUUUGAUUUAUUUCAAUAAAUUGGGGAUUUUACUUUGAUUCAAUCUUUUGUGUCUAAUGCUUGCUUGGUAUUUG
RNAcentral lists this unclassified non-coding RNA (412 nucleotides) under Hevea brasiliensis (rubber tree). The record is from RNAcentral. Lineage: Eukaryota; Viridiplantae; Streptophyta; Magnoliopsida; Malpighiales; Euphorbiaceae.